CAAGAGCGUAUAUUAAAGUUGCUGCGGUUAAAAAGCUCGUAGUUGGAUUUCAGUCUAGGAAGGUUAACUCGCCGAAAGGUUGUACGUUGAUUUUCCUCAGACUUCGUCAGAAGCUCGUGCUGCACUUAACUGUGUGGUACGAUGUUCUGACCCUUUACCUUGAGGAAAGUAGAGUGUUUCAGGCAGGCUACCCAGCUUGAAUACAUUAGCAUGGAAUAAUGAAAUGGAUCUCGGUUCGAUUUCGUUGGUUCUAGAGCUGAGGUGAUGAUCAAUAGGAACAGGCGAAGGUAUUCGUACUUGAGAGUGAGGAGUGAAAUCCGAUGAUCUCUUAAAGACGAUCCGAGGCGAAAGCAUUUGUCAAGGAUGUUUUCAUUGA
This 376-nucleotide ribosomal RNA is filed under the name uncultured eukaryote. Its description in RNAcentral is "partial 18S ribosomal RNA". It matches the Rfam family "Eukaryotic small subunit ribosomal RNA", at positions 592 to 976 of the family's 1831-position model. The record is from RNAcentral.